Paramormyrops kingsleyae is the source of this 287-nucleotide non-coding RNA. Lineage: Eukaryota; Metazoa; Chordata; Actinopteri; Osteoglossiformes; Mormyridae. The record is from RefSeq and is a predicted model, not a curated record.
GUGAAGCUGCUCUCUGCUGUACUGGAGGAUCCCAGCUGUAAACUGGAGAAGCUGAAGGUGGACCGGUGUGAACUCACAAAGAAAUGCUGCGAGACAUUGGCUUCAGCUCUCAGAUCAAACUCCUCACACCUGAUAGAGUUGGACCUGAGUGACAAUGACGUGCAGGAUUCAGGAGUGACACUGCUUUCUGCUGCACUGGGGGAUUCAGACUGUAAACUGGAGAUACUGAGGCUGUCAGGCUGUAGAGUCACAGAAGAAGGCUGUUCAUCCCUGGCUUCAGCUCUGAG